Molecule: ribosomal RNA, 718 nt
Filed under: Parabacteroides distasonis
Lineage: Bacteria; Pseudomonadati; Bacteroidota; Bacteroidia; Bacteroidales; Tannerellaceae
Description: bacterial SSU rRNA
Rfam family: Bacterial small subunit ribosomal RNA
Source: RNAcentral
AAAUUGAAGAGUUUGAUCAUGGCUCAGAUUGAACGCUGGCGGCAGGCCUAACACAUGCAAGUCGAGCGGAAACGACACUAACAAUCCUUCGGGUGCGUUAAUGGGCGUCGAGCGGCGGACGGGUGAGUAAUGCCUGGGAAAUUGCCUUGAUGUGGGGGAUAACCAUUGGAAACGAUGGCUAAUACCGCAUGAUGCCUACGGGCCAAAGAGGGGGACCUUCGGGCCUCUCGCGUCAAGAUAUGCCUAGGUGGGAUUAGCUAGUUGGUGAGGUAAUGGCUCACCAAGGCGACGAUCCCUAGCUGGUCUGAGAGGAUGAUCAGCCACACUGGAACUGAGACACGGUCCAGACUCCUACGGGAGGCAGCAGUGGGGAAUAUUGCACAAUGGGCGCAAGCCUGAUGCAGCCAUGCCGCGUGUAUGAAGAAGGCCUUCGGGUUGUAAAGUACUUUCAGCGGGGAGGAAGGGAGUAAAGUUAAUACCUUUGCUCAUUGACGUUACCCGCAGAAGAAGCACCGGCUAACUCCGUGCCAGCAGCCGCGGUAAUACGGAGGGUGCGAGCGUUAAUCGGAAUUACUGGGCGUAAAGCGCAUGCAGGUGGUUCAUUAAGUCAGAUGUGAAAGCCCGGGACUCAACCUCGGAACUGCAUUUGAAACUGGUGAACUAGAGUACUGUAGAGGGGGGUAGAAUUUCAGGUGUAGCGGUGAAAUGCGUAGAGAUC